Molecule: RNA transcript, 3636 nt
Organism: Cercocebus atys (sooty mangabey)
Lineage: Eukaryota; Metazoa; Chordata; Mammalia; Primates; Cercopithecidae
Gene name: ubiquitin-conjugating enzyme E2 variant 1 pseudogene
Exons: 1
Source: RefSeq, a predicted model, not a curated record
CCCAGCCUGGGUGACAGAGGGAGACCCUGUCUAAAAAAAAUAAAAAGUGAGUUAUGAUGCAAUAAUCUAAAUGACCUUCUUUCAUAAUUACUUACUAAAGGUCUACAACUGUGUCAUCUGAAGCCAAGCCCAACUACCAUUUAGAAGUAACCAUUUCCCCUUUUUCAAGAAAUUACUCCAAUGUCAAAAAAGUGUAAGAAAAAAGUGAUGUUUCCACUAAUUUACAGAUUGUGUCUGUCAAAUAGUUAUGAAUGUAUACUAUUUUCAACUAUAAGUACAACAUAAACUUCCCUAACUAAGCUUAAAUCCAACAUUCUUAGUCAAAAACAAACUGGCAGACAGCUUUUUUAAAAAGUGACUAACCAAUCUUUCUGCUUAUUCUGAGUAUCUGCUGCAGCUAUUAGCAAAUUCAUAAAUUUCCCUAACAGAGUCACUUUUAAUUCAUUUCAGGCCUUCACACAUCACACUGACUUAUCAGUCCCCACAGAGCCCACUAUACUGAGUCUCUCAUACUAUGGGCCAAAUAUAAACAUCAGAAAAAAGGUCCCUACUAGUGAAGGAUACAAUGCUAAGUGCCGUACAAGGCUAAGGAAUACCCACGAAACACUUAACAUUUAAAAUUCAAGAGUGAUAAUAAUGUACUAUUUACUGGGCACCUUCUUUAUGGCACUAUCCUUGGAAAACUACAGCAAAGCUAUAGGACAUUAGGUAGCAGCCAAAUGUCUUUCAUUGCUUUCAAGCAAAACUUUAACAUUUCUACGUGUACUGAAUAUUUUUGGUCUACAAAAUCCAAAGACGCUUUCUAGUAAUUUAAGACCUCACAAGCAUUCUGAGUCUCCUCUCCCUCCUGAAAAUGAGUGAAGGAGGCAAGUUAAUCUUUUUUAAGUUAGCAAUACUAGUUACAAUUGAGGAUUUGUGAAGGACUAUACAGAAAUCUGCUGCACAUAAACCACACUAUUGAAAGGAAAUCCCAGGGUUCAUUCUGUCCAGCCACCCUUCUGAUACUUGAAUACUUUCUAUUACAUUGUCACCAGUAUCUGUUCAGCAACAUAUUAAAUGGGAUAUCUGAUAGGUAUAAUUUGAUUUGUAACAUUGUUUUUAUCUACCCAAGAGAUACACUGCAUCCACACACUUGCUCCCUGGAACGUGCUAGUAUCUUCCAUUCCGGAGAGCUUACUUUCUGACCGCCUAGUAUUCAGAUAACCCAAAUAAUCACCAUCACUUCUCUUUAGUGGAACACUCACAGUGCUCAGGAAUCCUUGUUUUCCUUUAUCAAACUACCAGCAUUUCUAAGCUUUUUCUACUUUGAAAGACUAAUUUCCAUGCCCUGAAUCAUUCUCAGACCGUCUCAUAAAACAAUCUCAGUGAAGCAGGAAAUAAGGUAAAUGUCAUACAUCCCCAACAUCUUAAUUUAUACCUCUCAAAAUUUUCUCUCCACCCAUUUUCCCUAACCUUGUCCUCAGCCUCAAAUGACAAGAUGGCCUUCCUCUUAAGGCUAAAGCAAUACUUUCAGUUCAGCCUCCUUACCUCCUUUCUACAACUCUGCUCUAUCAAUUGUUCUGUAUUUCUUGUAUUUUCAGUGGUUUAUGCUAGGUUUCUUGCUAUCGAAAACUUUUGUUUUAAUAACCCUAACCUUGUUACCAUCAGAAUAAUAAUUAUACUUCUACUAACUGCAAAAUCUUAUAAGAUUGGUAUAUACACUUCAUACUACCAUUCAUUAGCUAUUACUCCUUUAUCUAACUUCCUACCCAUCACUCAACUGCAAGUACUUUCUUUAAAUCUUUGUAACCAAAUCCAGUGGUCUUUUCUCAAUCUUUAUUCUUGACAUCUCUAGAGCAUUCAAUGCUGUUGACUAUAUCCCUACCUAUAUAGAAUGUUCUCCUCAUACAAUACUACCUAUUUUUCUUGUUUGUCUUGUUUCAAACCUUCCAAUUCCUAUGUAUAGUUAUCCCAAGACUCUCUGUUGUUCCCAAAUGAAAGAGUAUAGAAAACUAAAGUUCACAAGCGACAGCGACACAAGGUGGCAGCCACCACUGGCUCAGGAGUAAAAGUCUCUUGCAAUUUCCCACUUUUUGAAGAACUCAAAGAACGCCAAAAAGGAGUAGGAGAUGGCACAGUUAGCUGAGGUCUAGACGAUGAUAAAGACAUGACACUUACAAGAUGGACAGGUAUGAUAACCGGGCCUGCAAGAACAAUUUAUGAAAACUGAAUAUACAGCCUUAAAAUAGAAUGUGGACCACCCAGAAGCAUCCCCCUUUGCAAGAUUUGUAACAAAAAAUUAAUAUGAACGGAGUUAAUAGUUCUAAUGGAGUGGCAGACCCAAGAGCCACAUUAGUGCUAGCAAAAUGGCAGAAUUCAUAGCACCAAAGUUGUCCUGCAAGACCUUUGGCGCGUAAUGGUGUCUAAAGAAAAUAUGAAACUCCCUCAGCCACCUGAAGGCCAGUGUUACAGCAAUUAAUCGAAAAGAAAAACCACAGGCCCUUCCCCUUCCCCUUCCCCCCACCGCCCCAUUCAAUUUAAGCAGUCUUCAUUUUCCACAGUAGCCAAUUUUCUAGAUACGUCUUGUAGACUUCAAAGUACUGGAAAGGAAGCUACCAUUCAAAGGAAAUUUAUCUUAAGAUACUGUAAAACUAAUAUCUGGUCCAUUUGAAAUAUAUAAGUUGUGCUAUAACAAAAAAAGAAAGAAAGAGAAUUAAAGUUCACCUGGUCAACAAGCAAUUCUAUGCAGCUAAUUUCCAAAACAUUAUCUCCAGUUCUGUCCCUCUAAGUUUUUGUUGGCCAUCUCUACCUCCCAUUAAAUUAAAUUCAUCACCUUUCCCCAAAAACAACAAAAUCCCUCACUAGUCAAUGGUACACAAUUCUAACCUUACUGGCACGCUUUGGAGCCAUCUUUGAGCCCCUCCCCUUUUUCACCAGUCUGCCAAUGACUGUCUUGUUGACUCUUAUUGUACAAGCAUGUCUUUAAAAAAAUUUGCCUCCUCUUCUCCAUUUUUAGAACCACUAUCCUACUCUAGACCUUCAUGACUUUAGGCUUAAAAUAUCCUAAUAGUAAGUUAUCUUGAUAUUUUCCCUUUUCCUUUUCUACUUCUAAUACUUUUACUUUAGCCAACUCAAAAGCCAUUCUGAUUCCCCUUGCCUAAACUUACAUAAAGCCUCAAUACCUCAGCCUUACCACCAUGACUUCUACCUAGGACCCUAAAUUUAUCUUUUAUAGUCUCUGCAUCAUACACACAGGUUUCAAAACAUGUAAACUGGGAGUACAUCACACCCAUCAUCAUGGAGUAUUCAUUUUUCCGCCCACUCCAUACUACUUCUCUUUUUCUCCCAGCAAGCAAGUCCUUCCCAGUCACAGUCAAACCUUACCUACUCUGUAACCCUUUCUAAUUGACUCAGCUUUACUUCUUUUAAUCCUUAGUCUUUAGCAUGUACAUAUUAGCUUUUUUUUUUUUUAAAGCAUACUUUCUACCUCUAGCAUCUCAGCCUAGAUCCAUACAAGGUAUACAGGAACCGUACCUUAUAACUAAUUUUACCACCAAUGCCUACUACAGUUCACUGCACACAGAAAUAUCAUAUACAUAUUUACUAAUAUUUUGGCGUUUUUAUUUGUUUUGAGACGAAGUCUCACUCUGUCACCCA